ACUGGCAUAUAUGAUGACUGAACUUUUUUCCCCGGCAGAUCGACCGUGGUGAUACAGCUUCUCUAAGCCAGUUUUAUCUGAUAUGCCAGU
This is a small nucleolar RNA of Myotis lucifugus (little brown bat), 90 nucleotides long. Ensembl annotates it as small nucleolar SNORD12/SNORD106. Its record names the gene SNORD12B. The record is from Ensembl. NCBI's taxonomy places the organism in Eukaryota, Metazoa, Chordata, Mammalia, Chiroptera, Vespertilionidae.